UACGAAGGGGGCUAGCGUUGUUCGGAUUAACUGGGCGUAAAGGGCGCGUAGGCGGGUUUUUAAGUCAGGGGUGAAAUCCCAAGGCUCAACCUUGGAACUGCCUUUGAUACUGGAAAUCUUGAGUCCGGGAGAGGUGAGUGGAACUGCGAGUGUAGAGGUGAAAUUCGUAGAUAUUCGCAAGAACACCAGUGGCGAAGGCGGCUCACUGGCCCGGUACUGACGCUGAGGCGCGAAAGCGUGGGGAGCAAACAGG
This 253-nucleotide ribosomal RNA is filed under the name uncultured bacterium. RNAcentral's name for it is "partial 16S ribosomal RNA". It matches the Rfam family "Bacterial small subunit ribosomal RNA", at positions 524 to 776 of the family's 1533-position model. The record is from RNAcentral.